RNAcentral lists this ribosomal RNA (213 nucleotides) under Klebsiella pneumoniae. RNAcentral's name for it is "partial 16S ribosomal RNA". It matches the Rfam family "Bacterial small subunit ribosomal RNA", at positions 1 to 215 of the family's 1533-position model. Lineage: Bacteria; Pseudomonadati; Pseudomonadota; Gammaproteobacteria; Enterobacterales; Enterobacteriaceae. The record is from RNAcentral.
ACUUAAAUUGAAGAGUUUGAUCAUGGCUCAGAUUGAACGCUGGCGGCAGGCCUAACACAUGCAAGUCGAGCGGUAGCACAGAGAGCUUGCUCUCGGGUGACGAGCGGCGGACGGGUGAGUAAUGUCUGGGAAACUGCCUGAUGGAGGGGGAUAACUACUGGAAACGGUAGCUAAUACCGCAUAAUGUCGCAAGACCAAAGUGGGGGACCUUCG